AUUACAUAAGAUAGAAUGCACAUGUUUCUGCAAAUAGCGUCAUCUCUCCCAAAGGAUGACAGGCCUCCUAAUCAGGUUUAGAGGUCAGGAAGGAGACAAAGAAAAAGGGAAAACUUACGCCAAGUCCUGUUUUGUUUCUAUCCAAGACUCUUGACUUUAAAGAGCUCCAAGGACUGGGGAGAAGCGAAGGGGUAUCUAUUAAUAGGAGUCAUGAAGUCAAAAGGCAUCCGACUGAACCUCCUUCUUCUGUCCUGCUCAGAACAAUGAGAAAAAGCCAAGGUCAAAAGCAAGGCCAGGUUGGAAGGAUUAUUAGAAAAGUCAUGAGG
This 326-nucleotide long non-coding RNA is filed under the name Homo sapiens (human). Its description in RNAcentral is "HSALNT0158955". Lineage: Eukaryota; Metazoa; Chordata; Mammalia; Primates; Hominidae. The record is from RNAcentral.